AACGAACGCCGGCGGCAUGCCUAACACAUGCAAGUCGAACGAGAUCUUCGGGUCUAGUGGCGCACGGGUGCGUAACGCGUGGGAAUCUGCCCUUUGGUUCGGAAUAACAGUUGGCAACGACUGCUAAUACCGGAUGAUGACGAAAGUCCAAAGAUUUAUCGCCAGAGGAUGAGCCCGCGUAGGAUUAGCUAGUUGGUGUGGUAAAGGCGCACCAAGGCGACGAUCCUUAGCUGGUCUGAGAGGAUGAUCAGCAACACUGGGACUGAGACACGGCCCAGACUCCUACGGGAGGCAGCAGUGGGGAAUAUUGGACAAUGGGCGAAAGCCUGAUCCAGCAACGCCGCGUGAGUGAUUAAGGCCUUAGGGUUGUAAAGCUCUUUUACCCGGGAUGAUAAUGACAGUACCGGGAGAAUAAGCUCCGGCUAACUCCGUGCCAGCCGCCGCGGUAA
Molecule: ribosomal RNA, 449 nt
Filed under: uncultured bacterium
Lineage: Bacteria
Description: partial 16S ribosomal RNA
Rfam family: Bacterial small subunit ribosomal RNA
Source: RNAcentral